UCUGAUGUUGGAAGUCAGCAGGAUUGUA
This 28-nucleotide non-coding RNA is filed under the name Mus musculus (house mouse). The record is from RNAcentral. Lineage: Eukaryota; Metazoa; Chordata; Mammalia; Rodentia; Muridae.